AAACCCUGAAAGAGUUGUGCGUCG
Molecule: non-coding RNA, 24 nt
Filed under: Cricetulus griseus (Chinese hamster)
Lineage: Eukaryota; Metazoa; Chordata; Mammalia; Rodentia; Cricetidae
Source: RNAcentral